Molecule: long non-coding RNA, 2124 nt
Organism: Peromyscus californicus insignis
Lineage: Eukaryota; Metazoa; Chordata; Mammalia; Rodentia; Cricetidae
Exons: 2
Source: RefSeq, a predicted model, not a curated record
UCCGCAUACUGAGCUCCGAGCACUGCAGGAUACGGCUGACUGCCUUUGGAGACCCGGCCUCGGAAGAACAUUAAGGUCAAUGAAGCCAUUAGAGUGGGUGGGUCCUAACCCCUGGUGUCUAGACACCUUCUAAGAAGAGAAGGUAGAGACACAGACACAGAACUCUACCAACCAAGGAGAGAGGACGGAAAAGAAACCCCUUACCCACACCCUCAAAGUAAGAGGAACUAUGAUGCGAUAGCACCCCGUGUAAGGACCCGGUGUAAGGUAGUUUCUCGUGGCAGCAUAAGCAGCCACUGUGUACCGCUUUCUUCAUUCGGCUACCUUACGUGAAUGCAAUGGCUGUCCAGGGAGAGAGGGGGAGACCAUGUCUGUCUGUACUGGGCUCAGCCACAUCUGCCGUGUUACAGGCCAAUGAAGCUUAUAGACCUACAGCCCACUGCAAACAAGAACCACGAGUCCCAAGUUGCAUAACCAGAAGGAAGUGAAUUCUGCCAAAAACUGAAAACCCUGGAGGAGCUCCAAGCUCCAUCUGAGAGCCAGCCUGGCUGAUGGCCAUGUUACAGCCUGUGGGACAGGUCCAGCGAAGCCAUGCCACAACGCCACAGCUGUGGAAACAGAAGAUAACGGAGGGGAGGUGUUUGAGACCACAAAGCGUGUGGUCACAGGCUACAUAGCAAGAGGGCGAAGGCAUACCUGCUGAUGGAUUUUCUAUAUCCUAGCACCGGAGAAGGAAGGGAGGCAGCUGACGUUCAUAUGACUCCAAGCCAGGAAUGCUCAUUGAAACCCAGCAGUCACACUGGACCAGAGAAAAGAGAGAGAAGUUAGAAUAUGUGGAACUCUCUGCCACCCUCCAACAAUUUUUCUCCCCAGGUUUGAUGAAGUGAAACCAUGGCAUAAUUUGAGAAACGCCAGCAAGCUGGCCAAAAAUUGGCUUCCCCCUCUGUCCUAGCUGUCAACGUGACACAAUCUACAGUCAACUGGGCAGGGGGACCUCAGGUGAGGAACUGUCCAAAUCAGAUCGGCCUGUGGCUAUGUCCAUGAAGUCUGGAUGGUUGACUGAAGCGAGAGGGCCCAGCCCUCUGUGGGUGGUACCUCCCUAGGCGGGUGAAUAAAGGAUGCUUUAGAAAAAUAGCUGAGCCUGAGCCCGAGACCGGGUUAGAGCAUGAGCUAGCAACCAAUAUUCCUCCGUAGUUUAUUUGAGCUCCUGCCUGGCUUCCCAGGCAGGACUUCACUUAUUGGCGGAUUGUGACCUGGAAGUAUAGGCCAAAUAGACCCUUUCCUUCCCAAGUUGCUUUUGGUCAGUGUUUUAUCACAGCAACAGAAAAGCAAGCCAGUACACCUUGCUCUCCUGAGAUCUCAGACAUCCAUGUGCAGGAGGCAUCUCUAUGCAAUAAGAAGUGUCUGGGCUCCUUCUUUUAAAACGCCUCUGUCUGAGCCCCACCCACGAGCCUGUGGUCAAGUCUGCAUUCUUAUCAAGGACCCGUGUAUCCAGGAAUGAGCCAUAGAAAAACAUCACCCCAAAUGCAUUCCAUGAAGUAAGACGUCAGACACCGAAAGACAAACACUGCCCGUUCUCACCCACGAGUGGCAGCUAAAACCUCCAACCCGCCAUUACAGAGAGAAGAAUGGUUCUAGUUCAUCACUGAGAAGUCAAAGCAGGAACUGAAGCAGAGAGUCUCAUCACUUCUACAGUCAAGAGCAGAAAGAAAGAAAUCCACGCAUGCCUGCUCCUGUUUCUGCCUGCAAGCAUCUGGCUUUCUCCUGUCCUGUAGAGUUCAGGACCCCCUGCCUAGAGCAUGGUGCUGCCCACAGUGGGCUGAGUCUUCCUGCAUCAAUUAACAAUCAAGACAAUCCCCCAAAGUCAGGCCUACAGACUAACCUGAUGUAGGCAUUCCUGCAAUUGGGACUCCCUUCUCAGGGGGUUCUACCUUGUGUCAAGUUGGAGGUUAAAACUAACCAACACAAUGCACUUACCAUGUUAAUGGUUACAUAGUGUUUCAUUACACAGACAUAAUAAUUUUUAUUGAUCUAUAUUCAUUGUGUAUAGUGAUAGACUUAAUGAACGUGUUUUCAUUCAAAUAUAUCAUGUUCCUUAAUAAAUAAAUACAUCAUGUUCCACCA